This 2010-nucleotide long non-coding RNA is filed under the name Gossypium barbadense (sea-island cotton). RNAcentral describes it as "long non-coding RNA (GBAR_LNC013954)". The record is from RNAcentral. Lineage: Eukaryota; Viridiplantae; Streptophyta; Magnoliopsida; Malvales; Malvaceae.
ACCAUCAUGUCUUUGAAUUAGACACUUUCCGCGGAAAGACCUUUUAGAGUUAUCAUCUUUAGAAAUUUCAUUUAACUUAAUAAAAAUUUAUCAAAAAUAACCAACUAAAUAAUAUUAGCCAAAAAUCCAAAAAAAAAAAUCAAAAUAAACGUACAAAAAAACAAAUUACAGUUUAAAAAGUCCAUAAUAUCCAAAAAAAAGUUUCCUAAUGAAACCAAAUUCAAUACCAAAUCAAAACCAAAUCCAAUAUCAAAUCGAGCUUCAAGAUCACCGCCCAACUUUCUCUAAGGAUUACCUGAAAAUAGUAAAAUAAUAAAGUUAGCUAAAAGCCAAUAUGUGUGCCACGGCGCACAAACAGAAAUCACAUGCAUAAUUAAAACAUACAUAUCAGAAUUUCACAUGUGCAAAAGUAUCUAUCAGAACAAAUUAAUCCAACCCCCGUCAGCUAUCUAUCAUCUCCAUCUAACCCAUCAAAUCAUAAGGAUUGCAAUAGUCCAUCCAACCAGCACAUCGUAAUGUUGACGUAUGCCACUCAGAAAAUUUACAGUUCAAAUAGAAAUUUGUGAAAAUACGGUAAAAAAUGUAGUAAUACUGCCAAAAUAAUACUUCCUCCAAUCCAUAUCAUAUCUCACCCCAAUGCACAUAUAUUAUCAUGUUAAUAUCUCAUACAACAUAUAUUCUUAUCGAAUCGAAAAUAUGACAUAUUUCAUCAAUGUCAUUAAUUCAGAUUUUAUCACAAGCUUAUAUAGAGUUAUUACUUAAUUUCAUACUUACUAACAUACAAACAUAUAAACUUUAAAGUACUACAUGCUAUCUAAAAAUCCAAUUUCAAAACUUUAUUCUCAAUCCAAACAGAACCCACAAAAAGAUCAGAAUGGAUCCACACACCCAUAUAACCUACACAAUCUAACAAAUCAAACUGUGUCACUCACACCGAGUGACGAACUGCAAUUUCGGAUUUUUCCUUAAUUUUUGAAUUAGAAACACACAUCUAAUUGCUGUAAAAAAGUCGGCACCACAACAGCAACAAUUACUGAACACAACAUUUACAACCCAACCUAAUUAGCAACUAAAAACGAAACCGAAAGGCGGAUUCAGUGCUUAACACUUAAACCAAUCCCCAAACCGGCAUUAGAAACUUAACCCCGGGAAAUCAGCAGUAGAGCAGCGACUAAACUGCCGGCGGAUGAUUGUGCACCUCACGAACUUCUCCUAUCAAAACAACAAAACAUCCAUCUAAGCGCUACCCAACAAAAUAACGGCCACCUACUCUAAGAUCAUAUCAACAAAGGAAGUACCACAUUACAACCGGUAACAAAAAAAUAGACGUUCUUACCCGAGACGAAACCUUAAAGCCGCACUUCCACUACAAGGAAGGAAACGGAAAAACGAAGUUGAACAAGGAAUGCUACGUCGGAUUAUGGCAGGAACCAAAAUUAAGAAGAGAAAAAGAAGGGAAAUAGGGGUGUAAAGUGUAAAUAAUUGGCAGCAGAGGAAACCAAAAAUUCGGCAGUCAAAUUGGAAAGAAAAAGAAAAACAGAGGGUAUGGAGGGAGGGGGGGAGUUGGACGGCAGCUUUGGAGAUAAAAUCAAAAUAAAUAAAAUCAAAUCCGAUUUUAUUUUAAAUUCAAUCCGAUACCAUCUUAUAAGUUGCUAGGAAUUCAAUUUCCACUCAAAUACCACUGGGUAGUACAUAAAGAUUCAAACAUAAGACUAAACUACCAAACUCAUUCUUGUCAACAACGUAAUGAAAUUGAAAGAUAUGCUCUACAACUCUGGUAUGACAUAAUUUCCAAAUUAAUAUGAAAAUUCAAAACAAGAGAAUCAAAUUCAAGACCUGUUGAUAUGUGUCUGUAUGUGAUACAAGUAAGGUAUGUGAAAAAUAUAUGUACGAUUUGUGUUUUUGAUAAAUCUGAAAUCUUGAUUACGUAUGAAAGGUAUGCAUGACAUUUGUUUAUGAAAUGCAUGCGUUAGUUUAUUUAUGCAUGUUAUGUGAUUGAGGAAGUGUAUU